CCCGUUUGGGGAAUGCGGAGACAUUACUGAUUUGCUUAAUUGCACCACAUGUGUUUUUCUUUGAAACAAACUUGCUUUGGCGGUGGGCCCAGCCUGCCGCCAGAGGUCUAAACUUACAACCAAUUUUUUAUCAACUUGUCACACCAGAUUAUUACUAAUAGUCAAAACUUUCAACAACGGAUCUCUUGGUUCUCGCAUCGAUGAAGAACGCAGCGAAAUGCGAUACGUAAUAUGAAUUGCAGAUAUUCGUGAAUCAUCGAAUCUUUGAACGCACAUUGCGCCCUCUGGUAUUCCGGAGGGCAUGCCUGUUUGAGCGUCGUUUCUCCCUCAAACCGCUGGGUUUGGUGUUGAGCAAUACGACUUGGGUUUGCUUGAAAGACGGUAGUGGUAAGGCGGGAUCGCUUUGACAAUGGCUUAGGUCUAACCAAAAACAUUGCUUGCGGCGGUAGCGUCCACCACGUAUAUCUUCAAACUUUGACCUCAAAUCAGGUAGGACUACCCGCUGAACUUAAGCAUAUCAAUAAGCGGAGGAAAAGAAACCAACCAAAAAAAA
RNAcentral lists this ribosomal RNA (553 nucleotides) under [Candida] sp. VVT-2012. Its description in RNAcentral is "eukaryotic LSU rRNA". The stretch from base 166 to 319 matches the Rfam family "5.8S ribosomal RNA". Lineage: Eukaryota; Fungi; Ascomycota; Saccharomycetes; Saccharomycetales. The record is from RNAcentral.